RNAcentral lists this transfer RNA (71 nucleotides) under Acyrthosiphon pisum (pea aphid). It matches the Rfam family "tRNA". Rfam says of the family: Transfer RNA (tRNA) molecules are approximately 80 nucleotides in length. Their secondary structure includes four short double-helical elements and three loops (D, anti-codon, and T loops). Lineage: Eukaryota; Metazoa; Arthropoda; Insecta; Hemiptera; Aphididae. The record is from Rfam by way of RNAcentral.
GGUCGGGUAGCUCAGUGGUUGAGCAAUUGCCCGGCAAGCGAGAGAAUCGGGUUCGAUUCCCGGACCGGUUG